Molecule: ribosomal RNA, 600 nt
Filed under: Lasiodiplodia theobromae
Lineage: Eukaryota; Fungi; Ascomycota; Dothideomycetes; Botryosphaeriales; Botryosphaeriaceae
Description: eukaryotic LSU rRNA
Rfam family: 5.8S ribosomal RNA (bases 139-292)
Source: RNAcentral
GACAAAGUUUUCGGACUCGGCUCGACUCUCCCACCCUUUGUGAACGUACCUCUGUUGCUUUGGCGGCUCCGGCCGCCAAAGGACCUUCAAACUCCAGUCAGUAAACGCAGACGUCUGAUAAACAAGUUAAUAAACUAAAACUUUCAACAACGGAUCUCUUGGUUCUGGCAUCGAUGAAGAACGCAGCGAAAUGCGAUAAGUAAUGUGAAUUGCAGAAUUCAGUGAAUCAUCGAAUCUUUGAACGCACAUUGCGCCCCUUGGUAUUCCGGGGGGCAUGCCUGUUCGAGCGUCAUUACAACCCUCAAGCUCUGCUUGGAAUUGGGCACCGUCCUCACUGCGGACGCGCCUCAAAGACCUCGGCGGUGGCUGUUCAGCCCUCAAGCGUAGUAGAAUACACCUCGCUUUGGAGCGGUUGGCGUCGCCCGCCGGACGAACCUUCUGAACUUUUCUCAAGGUUGACCUCGGAUCAGGUAGGGAUACCCGCUGAACUUAAGCAUAUCAAUAGCCGGGAGGAAACCUUGGUACAACUUUUACUUCCUCUAAGUGACAAAACCCCUCGCCUCUUAGGAAGGGGACCCCCCCUUAAAAAGGAGGAAACGG